AACGAACGCUGGCGGCAUGCCUAACACAUGCAAGUCGAACGAUGCUUUCGGGCAUAGUGGCGCACGGGUGCGUAACGCGUGGGAAUCUGCCCUUGGGUUCGGAAUAACAGUGAGAAAUUGCUGCUAAUACCGGAUGAUGUCUUCGGACCAAAGAUUUAUCGCCCAGGGAUGAGCCCGCGUAGGAUUAGCUAGUUGGUGGGGUAAUGGCCUACUAAGGCGACGAUCCUUAGCUGGUCUGAGAGGAUGAUCAGCCACACUGGGACUGAGACACGGCCCAGACUCCUACGGGAGGCAGCAGUGGGGAAUAUUGGACAAUGGGCGCAAGCCUGAUCCAGCAAUGCCGCGUGAGUGAUGAAGGCCUUAGGGUUGUAAAGCUCUUUUACCCGGGAUGAUAAUGACAGUACCGGGAGAAUAAGCUCCGGCUAACUCCGUG
Molecule: ribosomal RNA, 433 nt
Filed under: uncultured bacterium
Lineage: Bacteria
Description: partial 16S ribosomal RNA
Rfam family: Bacterial small subunit ribosomal RNA
Source: RNAcentral